CCUACGGGUGGCAGCAGUGGGGAAUAUUGGGCAAUGGGCGCAAGCCUGACCCAGCAACGCCGCGUGAAGGAAGAAGGCUUUCGGGUUGUAAACUUCUUUUAAGAGGGAAGAGCAGAAGACGGUACCUCUUGAAUAAGCCACGGCUAACUACGUGCCAGCAGCCGCGGUAAUACGUAGGUGGCAAGCGUUGUCCGGAUUUACUGGGUGUAAAGGGCGUGCAGCCGGGAAGACAAGUCAGAUGUGAAAUCCCGCGGCUCAACCGCGGAACUGCAUUUGAAACUGUUUUUCUUGAGUACCGGAGAGGUCAUCGGAAUUCCUUGUGUAGCGGUGAAAUGCGUAGAUAUUAGGAGGAACACCGGUGGCGAAGGCGACUUACUGGACUGUAACUGACGCUGAGGCAUGAGAGCAUGGGGAGCAAACAGGAUUAGAUACCCGAGUAGUC
Molecule: ribosomal RNA, 442 nt
Filed under: uncultured bacterium
Lineage: Bacteria
Description: partial 16S ribosomal RNA
Rfam family: Bacterial small subunit ribosomal RNA
Source: RNAcentral